GGGGUAAAAUUAGUAUAAAUAAAAAUAAUAAAAAAAUUUUUGGGGGAAAAUUUUUUGUUAAAGUAUAUUUAUAGAAAAAAUAAGUGAGGAAUUAUAGUAAAUUAGUAUUGUAAAAGAAAUAAGAAUUAUAUGAAAAAAAAACAUGUAAAAAGUAAUAUUUAUUUUAUGUAUCUUGUGUAUCAGAGUUUAUAGAAUAAAUUUUUUUUAUAAAAAAAUUCUCGAAUUUAAAAGAGAUAAUUAAUUAAAAAAGUUAUUGUGUCAAAAAUAUUUUAAAUAAUUAAUUGGAAAUAAAAUGUUAAUCGUUUUUAAAUAUAUCUAGUUUUUUUAGAAAAAAAUUUAAUUUUGAAUUUGAAUAAUAUGUGUGCAUAUAUAUACAUAAAUAAAUAAUUUAAUUAAUAUAAAUUAUUUAUUAGUUAAAUUUAAUAAUUUAAGGGAUAAGCUUUAAAUUAAAUAUUUAUAAAUUUAUUUUAAGAAAGUUAAAAAUUUUAGAAUUUAAAUUGUUUAAAAAUUAUAAAUUAUUAUAAAAAAUUUUAUAAAAAAAAAAAUUAAAAAAAUUAAAUUUUAAUUUUAUAUAAAAAAAAAUAAUAAAAAUAAAAUUAAUUAAGUUAUAAUGAUAAAAUUAGUAUAUAAUAUAUAUAUAUAUAUAUAUAUAUAUAUAUAAGAAAUUAAUAUUAAUAAUAAAAUUAAAAUUAAUUAAAAGGAAUUCGACAAAAAUUAUAUUCACUUGUUUAUCAAAAACAUGUCUUUUGGAGAUAAUAUAAAGUCUAAUCUGCCCACUGAUUUUAAAUUAAAGGGCUGCAGUAUAUUGACUGUACAAAGGUAGCAUAAUCAUUAGUCUCUUAAUUGGUGACUUGUAUGAAAGAUUGGAUGAAAUAUAAAUUGUCUCUCAAUUAUAAAUAGAAUUUAAUUUUUUAAUUAAAAAGUUAAAAUAAUUUUAAAAGACGAGAAGACCCUAUAGAGUUUAAUAAUAAUUUAAUUAUUUUUUUUUGAUAAAAAAAAAUUAAUAAUUAAUAAGAUUAUUUUAUUGGGGUGAUAGAAAAAUUUAAUUAACUUUUUUUUAUAAAAUAAAUAAAAAAAAAUAACAUUUAUAAGUGAAAUAGUUGAUCCAAAAUUUUUGAUUAUAAGAAUAAAUUACCUUAGGGAUAACAGCGUAAUUUUUUUUUUUAGUUCUUAUAAAAAUAAAAGUUUGCGACCUCGAUGUUGGAUUAAGAUAAAAUUUAAAUGCAAAAGUUUAAAAUUUUGAUCUGUUCGAUCAUUAAAAUCUUACAUGAUCUGAGUUCAAACCGGUGUAAGCCAGGUUGGUUUCUAUCUUUAAAAAAAUAUAAUAUUUUAGUACGAAAGGAUCAAAUAUUUAGAAUAAUUUUAAUAGAAGAAUAAUAUUAAAUUAUAGUUAUAUUUGAA
Molecule: ribosomal RNA, 1401 nt
Filed under: Issikiopteryx taipingensis
Lineage: Eukaryota; Metazoa; Arthropoda; Insecta; Lepidoptera; Lecithoceridae
Description: 16S ribosomal RNA
Source: RNAcentral